This 253-nucleotide ribosomal RNA is filed under the name uncultured bacterium. RNAcentral's name for it is "partial 16S ribosomal RNA". It matches the Rfam family "Bacterial small subunit ribosomal RNA", at positions 524 to 776 of the family's 1533-position model. The record is from RNAcentral.
UACGGAAGGGGUAAGCGUUGUUCGGAAUCAUUGGGCGUAAAGGGCGCGUAGGUGGUUCUGUAUGUCUACCGUGAAAGCGUACGGCUCAACCGUAUUUUGUCGGUGGAAACUGCAGGACUUGAGGCUGGGAGGGGCUGGUGGAAUUCCCUGUGUAGCGGUGAAAUGCGUAGAGAUGGGGGAGAACACUCGUGGCGAAGGCGGCCAGCUAGACCAGUUCUGACACUGAGGCGCGACAGCGUGGGGAGCAAACAGG